This 301-nucleotide ribosomal RNA is filed under the name uncultured bacterium. Its description in RNAcentral is "partial 16S ribosomal RNA". It matches the Rfam family "Bacterial small subunit ribosomal RNA", at positions 509 to 808 of the family's 1533-position model. The record is from RNAcentral.
CAGUCGCCACGGUAAAACGAAGGGGGCUAGCGUUGCUCGGAAUUACUGGGCGUAAAGGGAGCGUAGGCGGACAUUUAAGUCAGGGGUGAAAUCCCAGAGCUCAACUCUGGAACUGCCUUUGAUACUGGGUGUCUUGAGUGUGAUAGAGGUAUGUGGAACUCCGAGUGUAGAGGUGAAAUUCGUAGAUAUUCGGAAGAACACCAGUGGCGAAGGCGACAUACUGGAUCAUUACUGACGCUGAGGCUCGAAAGCGUGGGGAGCAAACAGGAUUAGAUACCCUGUAGUCCCUGUCUCUUAUACA